CAAUAGCGUAUAUUAAAGUUGUUGCAGUUAAAAAGCUCGUAGUUGGAUUUCUGGUGGGAGCGAUCGGUCUGGCGCUUAGCGCGAGUACUUGCAUCGUCUCCGGCCAUCCUUGGGGAGAGUCUGUCUGGCAUUAGGUUGUCGGGCAGAGGAUCCUCAUCGUUUACUGUGAAAAAAUUAGAGUGUUCAAAGCAGGCUUAUGCCGUUGAAUAUAUUAGCAUGGAAUAAUAAGAUAGGACUUUGGUACUAUUUUGUUGGUUUGCGCACCAAAGUAAUGAUUAAUAGGGACAGUUGGGGGUAUUCGUAUUCCGUUGUCAGAGGUGAAAUUCUUAGAUUUACGGAAGACGAACUACUGCGAAAGCAUUUACCAAGGAUGUUUNCAUUAA
Molecule: ribosomal RNA, 383 nt
Filed under: uncultured eukaryote
Lineage: Eukaryota
Description: partial 18S ribosomal RNA
Rfam family: Eukaryotic small subunit ribosomal RNA
Source: RNAcentral